CCUACGGGAGGCAGCAGUGGGGAAUUUUGGACAAUGGGGGCAACCCUGAUCCAGCAAUGCCGCGUGUGUGAAGAAGGCCUUCGGGUUGUAAAGCACUUUUGUCCGGAAAGAAAUUGCUCUGGCUAAUACCUGGGGUAGAUGACGGUACCGGAAGAAUAAGCACCGGCUAACUACGUGCCAGCAGCCGCGGUAAUACGUAGGGUGCGAGCGUUAAUCGGAAUUACUGGGCGUAAAGCGUGCGCAGGCGGUUUUGUAAGACAGGCGUGAAAUCCCCGGGCUCAACCUGGGAAUUGCGCUUGUGACUGCAAGGCUAGAGUGCGUCAGAGGGGGGUAGAAUUCCACGUGUAGCAGUGAAAUGCGUAGAGAUGUGGAGGAAUACCGAUGGCGAAGGCAGCCCCCUGGGACGUGACUGACGCUCAUGCACGAAAGCGUGGGGAGCAAACAGGAUUAGAUACCCUGGUAGUCCACGCCCUAAACGAUGUCAACUAGUUGUUGGGGAUUCAUUUUCUCAGUAACGUAGCUAACGCGUGAAGUUGACCGCCUGGGGAUACGGUCGCAAGNUUAAAACUCAAAGGAUUGACGGCNGAGAGNGCGAGACGACGACGAGGGAGAGG
RNAcentral lists this ribosomal RNA (614 nucleotides) under uncultured bacterium. RNAcentral's name for it is "bacterial SSU rRNA". It matches the Rfam family "Bacterial small subunit ribosomal RNA", at positions 338 to 947 of the family's 1533-position model. The record is from RNAcentral.